CAGCAGCCGCGGGAAUACAGAGGAUGCAAGCGUUAUCCGGAAUGAUUGGGCGUAAAGCGUCUGUAGGUGGCUUUUCAAGUCCGCCGUCAAAUCCCAGGGCUCAACCCUGGACAGGCGGUGGAAACUACCAAACUGGAGUACGGUCGGGGCAGAGGGAAUUUCCGGUGGAGCGGUGAAAUGCGUUGAGAUCGGAAAGAACACCAACGGCGGAAGCACUCUGCUGGGCCGACACUGACACUGAGAGACGAAAGCUAGGGGAGCAAAUGGGAUUAGAUACCCCGGUAGUCCCUGUCUCUUAUAC
This 301-nucleotide ribosomal RNA is filed under the name uncultured bacterium. RNAcentral's name for it is "partial 16S ribosomal RNA". It matches the Rfam family "Bacterial small subunit ribosomal RNA", at positions 509 to 807 of the family's 1533-position model. The record is from RNAcentral.